This 73-nucleotide transfer RNA is filed under the name Pricia antarctica. Its description in RNAcentral is "tRNA-Met". It matches the Rfam family "tRNA". From Rfam's summary of the family: Transfer RNA (tRNA) molecules are approximately 80 nucleotides in length. Lineage: Bacteria; Pseudomonadati; Bacteroidota; Flavobacteriia; Flavobacteriales; Flavobacteriaceae. The record is from RNAcentral.
CGCGGGGUAAUUCAGUGGUCAGAAAUUCGCUCUCAUAAGGCGAAAGUCGCGGGUUCAAAUCCCGCCCCCGCUA